AAGGAAUAUUGGUCAAUGGACGCAAGUCUGAACCAGCCAUGCCGCGUGGAGGAUGAAGGCCCUCUGGGUUGUAAACUUCUCUUAUCUGGGACGAAAAAGGGCCUUUCUAGGUCAACUGACGGUACCAGAGGAAUAAGCACCGGCUAACUCCGUGCCAGCAGCCGCGGUAAUACGGAGGGUGCAAGCGUUAUCCGGAUUCACUGGGUUUAAAGGGUGCGUAGGUGGGUUGGUAAGUCAGUGGUGAAAUCUCCGAGCUUAACUUGGAAACUGCCAUUGAUACUAUCAGUCUUGAAUAUUGUGGAGGUCAGCGGAAUAUGUCAUGUAGCGGUGAAAUGCUUAGAUAUGACAUAGAACACCAAUUGCGAAGGCAGCUGGCUACGCAUAUAUUGACACUGAGGCACGAAAGCGUGGGGAUCAAAC
Molecule: ribosomal RNA, 420 nt
Filed under: uncultured bacterium
Lineage: Bacteria
Description: bacterial SSU rRNA
Rfam family: Bacterial small subunit ribosomal RNA
Source: RNAcentral